GACGGUCGUGGUGGUCGGCGACGAGGUGACCGGCAGCGGGAGAGACGGGUUAGGCGGCGGUGAAGACAUGAUCGAACCGAAGUUAGCUGGUACCAAAUUUCUAUAAGGUUUUUGUAAUUAUGUUUAUGUUAGAAGGUUUAGAUGCCAUACUCUGCAUGGACUGUUACUAAAAGAAAUUUCCGUUGUUCUUAGGUACUAAUCAGGUUAAUGACGCCGCCGAAUAGCUGUCGUUGGCUAUAAUGUGAUUAGGUACCAAUCCUGUUAUUAAAGCUGUUAUGGUAUAUGCUGCUGCUACAUAAUUAUACUCUUAUGUGGUCAGCCAAGUGUUCUUCUAGAUCUACCUUUGUGUAAUGUAUAACUGAAGUACGACCAUUUUCUUGCAUAAACUAAGCAUACUAGGAAGAAUACAAUGCCAAAAUAACUGUUAAAAUUUUGUGCGGCAAGAGUAAAUUGCCUUUUCUGUGCUUCAGAGUAGAUUGCUACAACAGAAUGUUCACAGUCACUAUUCCAAGUUUUUUGUGUGUCAGCCUGUCAGGCCUUAAGAGUAAAUUGCCUUUUCUGUACAUUCUGUUUGGCCGUUUGUUUGUUCUUGUGGCUUCCAAAAAAGAACCCUGGAAUGUUUGUUCUGCCAGGGCAGCUCUCUUUGGCUAGGACAUUUUGGCUAAAAAAACAUAAAUGAACCUAAAAUGUAUUAAUAUUUUAUAUCACUUUUUGUAUUGAUGUCCUUCAUGCAUGCUCAUCUACCAAGAGGUCAAUCCAAUAAUGCCACGCGCUCUUCAUCAGGCGCCAAGCCCUCCGAUGCCCAGCCGUGCGCUGUUGUCUCUGCCUGAAGAAGGAUUAUGGUCCUCCACCUCUCUGCUACUCGUAUUAAAAUUCCGGUGUGUUCUUUCUUUCUUUAUUUUCUGUCAACAAAAAGGUGAACCUGUUCUUAAUUUCCCAUAAUGAUUUCAAUGGAAAUUUGUGAGUGUAUUUCUAGCUGGAAUUGCAUGUAUAUCUUACAAAUUUACAUAGCAACAAAUUAAUAAGGAGAAUAGAAGCAUUUGCGUCCAUCUAACAUAUUUGUAUGGUAUUUUAAAAAAAGCUCAAGGUUAGAGAUAUGGCGCUGUAUGAGGCUAUCAUUAGGAUGGAAAAUAAAUUAAUGUUAAAAUAUUGCUUGAGUUUCCUUCAUUCUGUAAACCGCAAUACAAGCUAUGUUUGCGCAAUGAUUCUAUUCCAAUUUUUUUUAACAACUGGCAAUUAACAACACAUCAAAUGUUCUGUAUUGAAAUGGAUCAUUUUGUCAGGUUGGGUUUAGUAGGUCAUAAUGGUUUUAUUCCACGACAGGGUUAAUUUUGUUUAUAUUGUAACCAGUUCAGGUAAUACAGGGGAAAACAACAUUUUUUUGGUUCGUUUGGUAAGAAUAGUCGGGUAAUGAUCUUAAUGAAACACUGCAUUUGUUUGAUACAAGUCGCUGGUACAAUUUGCACCUGGCAAUAAAAUUGUAACACUAUCUAUUUUAUCAGGUAAAAACACCAGCAUGUUGUUUGAGGUGCAUGCAUCGGUUGUAGCGAAGAUGUGCAUAUGACAAUACAUUGCUAACCAUGGAGCACCGCAAGGAUUUAGAAUAUGUACCGCAACUUAGAGACUUGACACAUUGCCACUUGCUCCUACCACCAUGCAAGUGGGCGAUGCUUUAGUGUUGAACUAUUGAUUAAUCCCUCUUUUUUCUUUAAUCUAUGUGAUGGUGCCCCUUAUCAUAAAUAAUUGUUAUGUGGAUUCAAUAUAAAGGAUGUUUUAAACAUGUUUGAUAGUUAUAAAAACAAAUGUCAUUGACGAUACAUAUUGCUAUUAUGGAGACGUUUUGAACUAUUGUUCAACUGCUAUUCAAUGUUUGAUGCCCCUUCAUUAUUUUUUUAUACAAAAG
Molecule: long non-coding RNA, 1903 nt
Filed under: Triticum aestivum (bread wheat)
Lineage: Eukaryota; Viridiplantae; Streptophyta; Magnoliopsida; Poales; Poaceae
Description: long non-coding RNA (TAES_LNC013331)
Source: RNAcentral